CGGCUCAGUAACACGUGGACAACCUACCCUUAGGUCGGGGAUAAACCCGGGAAACUGGGUAUAAUACCCGAUAGAUCUCGACUGCUGGAAUGCAUCGAGAUCCAAAGCUCCGGCGCCUAAGGAUGGGUCUGCGGCCUAUCAGGUAGUAGUGGGUGUAGCGUACCUACUAGCCUACGACGGGUACGGGUUGUGAGAGCAAGAGCCCGGAGAUGGAUUCUGAGACACGAAUCCAGGCCCUACGGGGUGCAGCAGGCGCGAAAACUUUACAAUGCUGGAAACAGCGAUAAGGGGACCUCGAGUGCCAGGUUACAAAUCUGGCUGUCGUGAUGCCUAAAAAGCAUUGCAUAGCAAGGGCCGGGCAAGACCGGUGCCAGCCGCCGCGGUAACACCGGCGGCUCGAGUGGUAACCGUUAUUAUUGGGUCUAAAGGGACUGUAGCCGGCCGGAUAAGUCUCUUGGGAAAUCCAGCAGCUCAACUGUUGGGCUUUCAGGAGAUACUGUCUGGCUCGAGGCCGGGAGAGGUGAGAGGUACUUCAGGGGGUAGGGGUGAAAUCUUGUAAUCCUUGAAGGACCACCAGUGGCGAAGGCGUCUCACCAGAACGGACCUGACGGCAAGGGACGAAAGCUAGGGGCACGAACCGGA
RNAcentral lists this ribosomal RNA (642 nucleotides) under uncultured Methanosaeta sp. RNAcentral describes it as "bacterial SSU rRNA". It matches the Rfam family "Archaeal small subunit ribosomal RNA", at positions 83 to 728 of the family's 1478-position model. The record is from RNAcentral. Lineage: Archaea; Methanobacteriati; Methanobacteriota; Methanomicrobia; Methanotrichales; Methanotrichaceae.